Molecule: small nucleolar RNA, 131 nt
Filed under: Mus pahari (shrew mouse)
Lineage: Eukaryota; Metazoa; Chordata; Mammalia; Rodentia; Muridae
Description: snoRNA (MGP_PahariEiJ_G0034081.1)
Rfam family: Small nucleolar RNA SNORA17
About the family: snoRNA ACA 17 belongs to the H/ACA family of snoRNAs and is predicted to guide pseudouridylation of the 28S rRNA at positions U4659 and U4598. It shares the same host gene together with ACA43.
Source: RNAcentral
CUGCCCCUAUAGGCAUUGCAGGUGUGGCUGCUGUGUCACAUGUGUGUCAGUAGGUGACAGAAAGGAAAGAGGCAAUGUCUACAGUCAGUGUUCCAACCUAUGGACAUUUGUAUGAUUAGUAGUAUAACAUU